CAUAGAUUUCAUUGCUGAGUGAUAUUGCUUUCUGGCCGCAACACCGCAGGAUGGCUUCAGGCCCUAAUCUGGUUCCGGCACGGCACGCUGAGCCUUUGGUUAAUUCCUCUUCCUGGUGGGAAAUGAGAGUUAAAUUUGCCCGUCCA
Molecule: long non-coding RNA, 146 nt
Organism: Orcinus orca (killer whale)
Lineage: Eukaryota; Metazoa; Chordata; Mammalia; Artiodactyla; Delphinidae
Exons: 2
Source: RefSeq, a predicted model, not a curated record